This is a non-coding RNA of Camellia sinensis, 467 nucleotides long. The record is from RefSeq and is a predicted model, not a curated record. NCBI's taxonomy places the organism in Eukaryota, Viridiplantae, Streptophyta, Magnoliopsida, Ericales, Theaceae.
CAUAUAAAAGGCCUAUAUAUUCAUUUUCAAAUUUUAAAGAAAUAAACCACACAUAAAAUGAAGCAUAUGAAUUAAGAUUCAUCAUUCAAACAAAUGACAAAAAUAAAGAAACAUUUUACUCAUGUUCAUUAAAUCGUUAAUAAUCAACUUCAGUCCACAAACGAGGAGGAAGGUUGUGGUGAUUUUCGUUAGGGUUGGAUGCAGAGGCUGGAGAAGUACAAGGCAUUACUAGAUGUAUAGAGGAGGAGGCAAGAUAUGCUUCACACCGUGCAUUUCAUGCCGCUUUCGGGCGAAUUACUGGAUCAGGUGUCCAAGAAAUAGAUUGAGACCGGCCUUAGAGUUGGAGAUCUUUAUGUGGUAGAAAACUUACAUCUCCCUUUAUCCACCUUUCUAGUUGCACUUUCCUCAUUUUAGUUAGAUUUUCAGUCGAGUCAGUUUUAUUUAUGGAAUUCUCACCUAGGUCAUUU